GGCAGCAUGGUGUAGUGGUUUGAGUGUUAGACUAUGACUCUGGAGACCAGGGUUCAAACCCCCACCUGGCCA
RNAcentral lists this transfer RNA (72 nucleotides) under Phrynosoma platyrhinos (Desert horned lizard). RNAcentral describes it as "tRNA-OTHER". Lineage: Eukaryota; Metazoa; Chordata; Lepidosauria; Squamata; Phrynosomatidae. The record is from RNAcentral.